Pseudonaja textilis is the source of this 698-nucleotide non-coding RNA. NCBI's taxonomy places the organism in Eukaryota, Metazoa, Chordata, Lepidosauria, Squamata, Elapidae. The record is from RefSeq and is a predicted model, not a curated record.
CUGUAUGAAAUGAUGUUUGGAAUACCUUAUACUGGAACUGUGGGUAUGUCUAGAAUUGUACUUGAAGAUGUGUUUUUUAGAAAAUAUAUACAGGGACUGUCCCAGUGUUUUUUUCUUUUAAGGUCUGAAGGACUUUUGGCGCAAACACCACCGCUUGAUUUCCAAGUGCAUGAUUUUAAGAGUGGAGACUGAGUCCUGACAAAGCAGUGGAGAGCUUUGGGGAAGCUGAGGCCUAUCUGGGAAGGACCAUUCCAAGUACUGUUGACUACUGAGUCGGUUGUGUGGACGUGUGAGUGAGGUUGGACACAUCAUUCGUGUGUGAAGGGACUUGUGGAUCCGGUUCCUGUUUCCAGUGGAAGCAAGCUUCGGAAGGACUGGACUUUUUAUUUUCUAUUUCUUUUAGACAGUGGGGAUAGAUAAUUACAUGUCUAGUUUCGUUUAAGUUUGUGGAACUUUGAGAUGUAUCGUUGAUUAUUUGGUUGAGUGUAAUACAUGUUUUCCUUGUAUUGUUGAUUAUUUUAAGACAUGAAAUAAUAGAUUGUUGUACACAGGUAUUGUGUCCUCUGAGUGCGGAAGAAGAUAAAGAAGUGGAUGUAAGUCCCCAAAGACCAGUUGUAAGUUUUGAAGUGUAAAACUACAUACGUUAAGGUGGGUCGGGGGCCUAGUCCAUUUUUGGAUGUUUUGAAAUAAUGAUGUCU